ACGUCAGUAGCUGAUGGUGCCGGAGAUACACCAGUGGUGGUGACGGCCGGAGAAGGUGCUCCAGUAGGUGGUGCUGGUGGGCUCGAAGUUAAGGGAGAUGGUGCAGCCGAUGGAGUCACGACUGGGGAAGAGACUGGGACGGGAGCUGGUGGUGGUGAAGCUGCAGGAGGAGGAGUGGCUGCUGGUGGUGGUGACGCGACAGGAGGGGGAGUGGCUACAGGUGGUGGUGAGGCAACAGGAGGUGGAGUGGCUACAGGUGGUGGUGAGGAUACAGGAGGUGGAGUGGCUACAGGUGGUGGUGAGCUGACUGGCGGAGGAGUGGCAACGGGUGGAGGAGUUGAGACAGGUGGCGAUGCGACGGUUGGUGGUGGNNNNNNNNNNNNNN
RNAcentral lists this long non-coding RNA (385 nucleotides) under Lactuca sativa (garden lettuce). Its description in RNAcentral is "long non-coding RNA (LSAT_LNC005750)". Lineage: Eukaryota; Viridiplantae; Streptophyta; Magnoliopsida; Asterales; Asteraceae. The record is from RNAcentral.